RNAcentral lists this ribosomal RNA (689 nucleotides) under uncultured bacterium. Its description in RNAcentral is "bacterial SSU rRNA". It matches the Rfam family "Bacterial small subunit ribosomal RNA", at positions 620 to 1315 of the family's 1533-position model. The record is from RNAcentral.
AUUGCCAUUGAUACUGUUUGACUUGAAUAUGGAUGAGGUAGGCGGAAUGUGUAGUGUGGCGGUGAAAUGCUUAGAUAUUACACAGAACACCGAUUGCGAAGGCAGCUUACUAAUCCAUGAUUGACGCUGAGGCACGAAAGCGUGGGGAUCAAACAGGAUUAGAUACCCUGGUAGUCCACGCUGUAAACGAUGAUCACUCGCUGUUUGCGAUACACAGUAAGCGGCUAAGCGAAAGCGUUAAGUGAUCCACCUGGGGAGUACGAUCGCAAGGUUGAAACUCAAAGGAAUUGACGGGGGCCCGCACAAGCGGAGGAACAUGUGGUUUAAUUCGAUGAUACGCGAGGAACCUUACCUGGGCUUAAAUGGGGAGUGACAGCUGCUGAAAGGUGGUUUUCUUCGGACACUCUCCAAGGUGCUGCAUGGUUGUCGUCAGCUCGUGCCGUGAGGUGUCGGGUUAAGUCCCAUAACGAGCGCAACCCUUACUGUUAGUUGCCAGCGGGUAAUGCCGGGGACUCUAGCGGGACUGCCACCGUAAGGUGAGAGGAAGGUGGGGAUGACGUCAAAUCAGCACGGCCCUUAUGUCCAGGGCUACACACGUGUUACAAUGGCCGGUACAAAGGGCAGCUACACCGCGAGGUGAUGCUAAUCUCCAAAGCCGGUCCCAGUUCGGAUCGAAGUCUGCAACCCGA